UUUUCGAGAGGGAGCCUGAGAAACGGCUACCACAUCCAAGGAAGGCAGCAGGCACGCAAAUUACCCACUCCCGGCACGGGGAGGUAGUGACAAAAAAUAACGAUACGGGACUCAUAUGAGGCCCCGUAAUCGGAAUGAGUACACUUUAAAUCCUUUAACAAGGAUCCAUUGGAGGGCAAGUCUGGUGCCAGCAGCCGCGGUAAUUCCAGCUCCAAUAGCGUAUAUUAAAGUUGUUGCGGUUAAAAAGCUCGUAGUUGGUUCUGCGUGCUACGCUGUCGGUUCGCCGCCUGCCGGUGUAACUGGCAUGCCGUGGCAUGUCCUGUCGGUGGCGUUCGGGAGCUUCGUCUAGGUGUCUCCUCCGGACCGAAAGGGACGGGUGGUUGUAUAACCGGGAGCCUCCCCGUUCGCCUACUCUAUCCUACCUAGGUGCUCUUCACCGAGUGUCGAGGUAGGCCGACACGUUUACUUUGAACAAAUUAGAGUGCUCAAAGCAGGCUGAAAUUUCUGCCUGAAUAGUGGUGCAUGGAAUAAUAAAACAGGACCUCGGUUCUAUUUUGUUGGUUCUUAGGAACACGAGGUAAUGAUCAAUACGGACAGGCGGGGGCAUUCGUAUUGCGACGUUAGAGGUGAAAUUCUUGGAUCGUCGCAAGACGCACAAGAGC
This 662-nucleotide ribosomal RNA is filed under the name Palassocoris sp. Msp039. RNAcentral describes it as "SSU rRNA". It matches the Rfam family "Eukaryotic small subunit ribosomal RNA", at positions 381 to 946 of the family's 1831-position model. The record is from RNAcentral. Lineage: Eukaryota; Metazoa; Arthropoda; Insecta; Hemiptera; Miridae.